UUUUGCGGUGUCGGAUUAUUCGACUUAAUAGGGAAGCAUAGAAAGCACAGCCCCCGCUACUGAUGGACUUAAACGCCAUAUGUCACUGAGCAAUCGGGAAGACGGCGACGCGAAAGCGCGUUCGGUCAGGAGACCUACCGCAAU
This 144-nucleotide non-coding RNA is filed under the name bovine gut metagenome. The record is from RNAcentral.